AGAGUUUGAUCCUGGCUCAGGAUGAACGCUAGCGGCAGGCCUAAUACAUGCAAGUCGAACGGAUCCAGGGGCUUCGGUUCCUGGGUUAGUGGCGCACGGGUGCGUAACGCGUAUGCAACCUACCUUCCACUGGGGGAUAGCCCACCGAAAGGUGGAUUAAUACCGCAUAUGAUCACACUCUGGCAUCAGGGAGUGAUGAAAGCUUUGGCGGUGGAAGAUGGGCAUGCGUGCCAUUAGCUAGUUGGCGGGGUAAGGGCCCACCAAGGCUACGAUGGCUAGGGGUUCUGAGAGGAUGGUCCCCCACACUGGUACUGAGACACGGACCAGACUCCUACGGGAGGCAGCAGUAGGGAAUAUUGGGCAAUGGAGGAGACUCUGACCCAGCCAUGCCGCGUGCAGGAAGAAGGCCUUCUGGGUUGUAAACUGCUUUUAUCUGGGAAGAAAACGCCUGUGCGCAGGUAACUGACGGUACCAGAUGAAUAAGCACCGGCUAACUCCGUGCCAGCAGCCGCGGUAAUACGGAGGGUGCAAGCGUUGUCCGGAUUUAUUGGGUUUAAAGGGUGCGUAGGCGGCCCGUUAAGUCAGCGGUGAAAUCCCACGGCUCAACCGUGGAACUGCCGUUGAUACUGGCGGGCUUGAGUUCGGUCGAGGCGGGCGGAACUGGUGGUGUAGCGGUGAAAUGCUUAGAUACCACCAAGAACCCCGAUUGCGUAGGCAGCUCGCUGGGCCGAAACUGACGCUGAGGCGCGAAAGCGUGGGGAGCGAACAGGAUUAGAUACCCUGGUAGUCCACGCCGUAAACGAUGAGUGCUAAGUGUUAGAGGGUUUCCGCCCUUUAGUGCUGCAGCUAACGCAUUAAGCACUCCGCCUGGGGAGUACGGCCGCAAGGCUGAAACUCAAAGGAAUUGACGGGGGCCCGCACAAGCGGUGGAGCAUGUGGUUUAAUUCGAAGCAACGCGAAGAACCUUACCAGGUCUUGACAUCCUCUGACACUCCUAGAGAUAGGAAUUUCCCCUUCGGGGGACAGAGUGACAGGUGGUGCAUGGUUGUCGUCAGCUCGUGUCGUGAGAUGUUGGGUUAAGUCCCGCAACGAGCGCAACCCUUGUUCUUAGUUGCCAGCAUUCAGUUGGGCACUCUAAGGAGACUGCCGGUGACAAACCGGAGGAAGGUGGGGAUGACGUCAAAUCAUCAUGCCCCUUAUGACCUGGGCUACACACGUGCUACAAUGGAUGGUACAAAGGGCUGCAAGACCGCGAGGUUUAGCCAAUCCCAUAAAACCAUUCUCAGUUCGGAUUGUAGGCUGCAACUCGCCUACAUGAAGCCGGAAUCGCUAGUAAUCGCGGAUCAGCAUGCCGCGGUGAAUACGUUCCCGGGCCUUGUACACACCGCCCGUCACACCACGAGAGUUUGUAACACCCGAAGUCGGUGGGGUAACCGCAAGGAGCCAGCCGCCUAAGGUGGGACAGAUGAUUGGGGUGAAGUCGUAACAAGGUA
This 1493-nucleotide ribosomal RNA is filed under the name uncultured bacterium. RNAcentral describes it as "partial 16S rRNA". It matches the Rfam family "Bacterial small subunit ribosomal RNA". The record is from RNAcentral.